RNAcentral lists this long non-coding RNA (579 nucleotides) under Ananas comosus (pineapple). Its description in RNAcentral is "long non-coding RNA (ACOM_LNC000247)". The record is from RNAcentral. Lineage: Eukaryota; Viridiplantae; Streptophyta; Magnoliopsida; Poales; Bromeliaceae.
UACUAUUAGUAAUAUAAAUAUUUCUGUGCUACUAAAUUAUCUUUAAUGAUGCAGUUUUUAAAUCGACGUUCGGUUCUAUUAGAUUUGAUCUACACCGUUGAAAGUAUUUAAAAAUUAAAUUUUUUAAUUUUUCGAUAUUAUUUACCUAUCAAACGAGUAGUCUAAAAAAUAAACGGCUAAAAAAAAAAUCUCAUAAGAAAUAAUGAUAAAAGACUUGAAUUUAAGAUCAGAGAUGCUGAUCUUACUCUAAAUAGUAAAAAAAAAAAUUUCUAUAAAAAUUUCACCAAACUUUGAUUGUUUUAUACUGUUUAAUUCACAAACGCGUCAUAUCGACGAUUAAAAUUGUUAGUUUUGAGAUCUUUUGAUCACUAAUCAAAUAAUGUCGAAAAAUUAUGAAAUUUAGUUUUCAAAUACUUUCGAUAGUGUAAAUCAAGUCUAACGAAAUAAAUUGUCGAUUUGAAAAUCGCAUCAUUGAAAAUAAUUUGAUAAUACGAAGAACUCCGUACUACUAAUAGUGUAGCAGCUUAACUCUAUAAAUAAUAUAUAUUAUUAACUUUUCAGUCAUUUAAUGCUUAUAAU